ACAGGGAUUGCCUCAGUAACGGCGAGUGAAGCGGCAUCAGCUCAAAUUUGAAAUCUGGCUCUUUUAGAGUCCGAGUUGUAAUUUGCAGAGGGCGCUUUGGCAUAGGCAGCGAUUCAAGUUCCUUGGAACAGGACGUCACAGAGGGUGAGAAUCCCGUACGUGGUCGCUAGCUCUUGCCGUGUAAAGCCCCUUCGACGAGUCGAGUUGUUUGGGAAUGCAGCUCUAAAUGGGAGGUAAAUUUCUUCUAAAGCUAAAUAUUGGCCAGAGACCGAUAGCGCACAAGUAGAGUGAUCGAAAGAUGAAAAACACUUUGGAAAGAGAGUCAAACAGCACGUGAAAUUGUUGAAAGGGAAGCGCUUGCAGCCAGACUUGCCUGUAGUUGCUCAUCCGGGCUCUUGCCCGGUGCACUCUUCUGUAGGCAGGCCAGCAUCAGUUUGGGCGGUUGGAUAAAGGUCUCUGUCAUGUACCUCUCUUCGGGGAGGCCUUAUAGGGGAGGCGACAUACAACCAGCCUAGACUGAGGUCCGCGCAUUCGUGCUAGGAUGCUGGCGUAAUGGCUGUAAGCGGCCCGUCUUGAAACACGGACCAAGGAGUCUAACAUCUAUGCGAGUGUUUGGGUGUCAAGCCCGAGCGCGUAAUGAAAGUGAACGGAGGUGGGAACCCCUCGGGGUGCACCAUCGACCGAUCCUGAUGUCUUCGGAAGGAUUUGAGUAAGAGCAUGGCUGUUGGGACCCGAAAGAUGGUGAACUAUGCUUGAAUAGGGUGAAGCCAGAGGAAACUCUGGUGGAGGCUCGCAGCGGUUCUGACGUGCAAAUCGAUCGUCAAAUUUGGGCAUAGGGGCGAAAGACUAAUC
This 852-nucleotide ribosomal RNA is filed under the name Comoclathris rosarum. RNAcentral describes it as "eukaryotic LSU rRNA". It matches the Rfam family "Eukaryotic large subunit ribosomal RNA", at positions 68 to 936 of the family's 3401-position model. The record is from RNAcentral. Lineage: Eukaryota; Fungi; Ascomycota; Dothideomycetes; Pleosporales; Pleosporaceae.